CCGACUGGCACUGAAGAUUCUAAUGGAUGCUCUGAACAAUUAGAGGGCCUCUUCAGCUGCUUUUUCAGUUUGAAGUUAUGAUUGGAGGAGACCUCGAAAUUCAGCUGUGUGCAGUAUUUACAGAGUAGUUCCCCGUUAUCCGCGGUUUUAGUUACCCGUGGUCAACUGCAGGCUGGAAGCGGAUGAUCCUCUUUCUAACCCAUCUUCAGAAGGUCAGUAGUAGCCUAGUGCUAGGUCACAACGCCUACGUCAUUCACCUCACUCCAUCUCAUCACGUAGGCAUUGUAUCAUCUCACAUCACCACAAGAAGAAGGGAUUCCUCUAAAAUCCAAGGACAUAAGAUGAGAACCCAAAUAAACAGAAAACAUCAAAAUAUGACCUGGCUCGGGCACCGGUUCAGAUAUAGUAGCGCACACUACACCACAAGAGCCUGGGCCAAGUGGAGUCGCCCAGGGCCAGGUGGAAAAGAUUUGUUACUAAUUCCAGGGAAGAACUGUUCGCGUCGUGGGGGUGAAACGGUUGCCAGCGUUCACACUUCAGUGCUUGUAGACCAGGAGACUGGAAACGAAAGGGUUACUUGUUUCCCCACCACCGCCUUUACCCCCAGAUCGAUUUUUCUUAUUUAAUCAGAAAGUAAAAAGAGAGACACGGGGGGAAAAAAAAUUGGAAGAAGGGCAAAGUGGUGGGGGAGGGUUGAAAGCCAGAAGCUGCAAUACAGAAAAUCAGUCUCGGGAGUUCGCGCUGCCGAGUCCUUGCAACAAGGAAGAGAAGCCAGCAAAACGCUCGCAGUGGUUUCCUCACAGUCACCCUCCCUUUUCUCCUCGCUACGCGCUAGUGGCUCAUUUGGCUUCCCUCUGCCACCGAGCGAUCACAUACAUUAUUUCCCCCAAGAUAACACAAUCAAACUUGUAUUUAUCGACAUCCUCUCCUCGCAGUCUGUUUGAGAUUUGUUUUAAUAAAUAAGUGUUUUAUGUGAAUGAUGUAGUAAUUGAAAUGGGCGCACCAUUUUUUUUUCUUCUUACUGCAGGAGGUUCCUCAACCCCAAUCUGGUUGGAAAAUAAA
This 1062-nucleotide long non-coding RNA is filed under the name Equus caballus (horse). Its description in RNAcentral is "lncRNA (ENSECAG00000033135.3)". The record is from RNAcentral. Lineage: Eukaryota; Metazoa; Chordata; Mammalia; Perissodactyla; Equidae.